RNAcentral lists this long non-coding RNA (9450 nucleotides) under Sorghum bicolor (sorghum). RNAcentral's name for it is "long non-coding RNA (SBIC_LNC007084)". Lineage: Eukaryota; Viridiplantae; Streptophyta; Magnoliopsida; Poales; Poaceae. The record is from RNAcentral.
GCAGAUUGGACGUUAAGUUUCCCAAAGGGAAUAUUGAAGAACCUUUGUGUCCGAGUUGGUACCUUGUACACCCCAGCAGACUUCGUGGUGAUAGAAACCGGUAAUGAUGAGAGGGCACCCAUCAUCUUAGGGAGGCCAUUCUUAAACACCUCGGGAGCUGUCAUCUAUGCUAGUGCUGCCAAGAUCAGUUUCUACAUCAAAGGGAGGAAGGAGAUGUUUUCCUUCAAGAACAAGACUACACAAACCCCAGAGUAAUCCCGACAUGAACCAAGGAAGAGGACCAACAGGAGGAAUAGGAACAAGCAAGUGUGGACCGAGUCAGCUAAGAUGGUCACUGCAGUUCAAGAAGGUCAAGAUCAUCGACUUAAGUCACCGUUUCUGACCAAGAAGGACGACCCAGGUAUGCCAAGCAUCUACUGCUCCAUAAAUGGAUACAACAUCUACAAGACGACUUGCGACACCGGAUCGAGCGUCAACAUAUUGGCCGCAGUCACCUAUCGGCUCUUGUUCGGAACUAUGCCCUUAAAACCAACAUACAUUCAGCUCCAGAUAGCAGAUCAUACAUUCCGAGAGGUUGAAGGUAUAGUAACUGAUGUCUCUGUCAAAAUAGACGAUCAUUUUGUCCAUACAGACUUUUAGGUUAUCGACAUGGGAGAAGACGAGUACGAUCCACCCAUCAUCCUUGGAAGACCGUUCCUCAGCACCGUUAAAGCAAUCAUCUACAUUGGAACUAGAGAAGAUCACAUGCACUUCCCCUCAGAGAAGGUACGCCGCUAUUUUAUGACCCUAAUUAUAUCGUUGAAGACUCUAAGCAGUCAGAACAAGAAGAAGACGACGCAACCGCAACCAGAGGAGGCAGAUUAUCAAGGACGGAUGGGCAGACUACGAAGGAGAAGUGGUAAGGUCUGAAGACAUACAACUUGAACAGAAUUAUCCAGAGGAGACCGUAGCACCAAGUCAGGUGUGGAGAGAGAAGAUAACUAUACAAGAAGAAGAGGCGCCGCCGGAAGCACCGACUACGCCACCCAACGAAUCCCAGGACAACUAGAAAACGGAGAGUCCCGUUCGGAGGACUUAAAAACAUCGAACGCCUUGCCAAGAGGUAAAAUUGGUAGUUAUCCUUUCCUUUUAAUUAUUUAAAAUAGUUUGCUUAGUUAAUCAGGUUCAUAUCAUUUUAAAAAGAAAAUAAAAAUGUUAAAAACAGUAAGCCUCAUGUGAAUAUACAAGUCACAUGAAACCCAUAAGUACAUUCGCUGUGGUGGCAUAAAAAUAAAAUAAUUUUUUUUUUCUGCUCUAUAAAAUAAAAAUAUAAAAUAGAGAGUAAUAUUUAUUGAGUAGGCUCAACAUGAUAAAGGCUAGAUAUUUAUGCUAACACUUAAUCAGUUCCACAAAGCUUUGUUGUCUAUUUGAGCUCCACAGAAUUUAAGGAUCAAGAAGACUAGCAGACGGAGGACGUCCUAAUCGCUGUCAGGGUGCUGCCGACUUUCAAAUACACCUCUGCCACCUGCUAGCUACAUCAAAAAGAAAUUAUGUCAAAAUUCAGCUUGGGGGAGAGCACCCCCAUUUAUCCCGCUAAGUAUUUCUAUCUAUCUUUAUACUUAUACUACAUUAAAAUAUAAAUAUACAUAACUAUGAAAAACCAAAUAAAGUUUUUGUGCUUAUAUAUAUAUAUAUAUCUUUUGCUUAGUAUGUUUAAUAAAUAAAUAAAGUGGCUAUGCUAAACUGAAUCUUAAUAAUAAAACUCUAGCAUGGAUAUGAUGAAUAGUUGCUCUGCCUAAUUUUUAAAAUUUGAGUUCUCUCUCAAAGUUUAGACAUAAGUGUUAUAAUUUAAAGAUUGCUCUAAAUCUGAACUUGUGGGACGAAAACUUGAUCUGAAGUUUAAGUUGUUAACGGAUAUGAUAUGGGAAGGUUGAGCUGCUGUUUAUCUGUUCCUAGAGAUGCUAGAAUUCUGGAGAAUUUUAUCAUUGAAAAUCUUUAAAAUAAUACAUGAUGAGUUCUUGUAUGAUGAGAGUUUAAAUUCCUACCACAGCCAUAUAUACAUGCUUGCUAGACUUUGAGCCACACAUUUACUUUUUACUGCUUAUGAGCAUUGAGUGUGGUCAAGCUGAGUAGACCCUCAGGAGCUUGUCAUGUGGUCAAAUCAAGAUUCACUUGCACGUUCACUCACACAUGCUGCUUCUACUCCGGAAGUACGCAUCCAUAUAUAUCCAUUUGCAUCUCCAUAACCACCCAAAAACAUUCUACUCCUAAUCCGGGAGAGAAUGGCCAAAAAAACAUUCCUGUUUUCCCUGUGGAAUAAAUGCUCAAGUUAUCUUGGUUACUACCACUUGCUAUAUUAUUUCAGGAGAUGAGUGCUCUAAAAAAAAAGAUACGAGGAAAUAAAAAGGGGCAAGUGCCCGGAACCUCGAAAGAAAAAAAAUAAGAAAAAAAGUGAGAUGAGAGGUAAAAAUGGACAAGUGUUUGACAGUAGAAUUAGGGGUACAAGAUACCCACCUGAGAGGAAAGAAAAAGAAAAUAUAGAGCAUCUCAUUCUCCUCACCAAGUUUCAAAAAGCAAGGAAGGUAUGUAUCCCCUCAAAGAGCAAAAGUAGAAUUAGACUUUCACCAUUGUUAUCACCAUUAUCACCAUACGCCAUUCAUUCGCCACACAUGCACAUCUUGAUUUCACUUAUUGAUUUGUUUCUUUGGAUCCAUGGUUUGACUAUACAAUAAAUGUCUUGUGAGUAUGUAUACUUUAUCUCCCACCUAUGAGCUCCAGAUAUUAAAGCCUUAUUAUAGUAGGGUGAGAGAGAAGACAAUGUCACUAUGCUUUAUACUACAAAUAUUACAUACUUUGAGAGAAGGCAUAUACCAUCACUACCUUGGUAAGAAUCCAGAAAUACCACAAAAGAGAGAUCUAAGAGAGUCAUACAAGGAAUUUCUGAGUUUUAUUUGAAAAUCUGCAAAAACUCCAGAGCUAUAGCUGAUCAAGAAUAAGAGACAUGACACUUGACUAGACUGUUCUAUCUUUUAACUACUCAAGACAGAAGUGACAGUUACAAGUCCCAUGGUAAAAGGUAAAAUAAGUAAGUCUUGACAGUUUACUCUAACUCAGAGAUGAGACCUCAUUUAAAAGCAUGUGUACCGUCAAUUUUUAAAGACAUUAUAGCAACUUCUGAUCCAUCACUGAGAUUAUCCUUGCUCAGGGACGAGCAAGAGGUAAGCUUGGGGGAGUUUGUUGACGGUCCUAAAGUAUCAAAUAUAAUCAACAAAUAAACAAAGAAACGGAUCCAAAUGAAGUCAACAUCCAGACUUAGGGUUUUAUCUAACAGAAUUCCACGAGUUUUGGUGUUUGUCUAUUUCUGCAGGGGGUUAUUAGGAAUUAUGGAAGAAAGGCCCAUACGUCGGGUUUACAUAGAGAUAUUAACGUGCCGCAUAAUUAUCUUACAUCUAGAAGAGUCCAGAAGCCACGGGAACGAACGGGAGACCGAACGGGCUCGGGGGCAGGGCGCCCGCCCUCCCCCCUAGGGCGCCCGCCCUGGCCUUUCCACCAAUCACGGCCAAUCUCGCGGAUUAUGCUCCACCGACCUAAAGGAUCAAGGAUAAUCGUUCAAUCAAUGUCGGUUUGAUCCGACGACCCACAUUCACUUGGAAGGACUUUAUAACCAGACCCUCUGGCCCCUGGAGGAGAGCACCUCUAAACCCUAAUUCAAUAUUCAUCUUGGGAGAAGAAGCCUCUGAUCAAGCCCUAGAGCCACCACAUCAAUUAGAUCUCUAGAUUAGCAUAGCUACAUAAGAUUAGAACCAGAAGGAGUCAAUCUUCGAUUGGUUUCCGGAUCUGUCAAGAGAAUUUUUAACACCCGAUUUUAAGAACUGAAUCAGAUAUGCACCAUAUGUGAGUUUUAGAAGACAAGCCUCACAUAUAGCUACAAAUAAGGGGUAAUAUCAAAGGACAACACAUAAAUUACAUAGCGUACAUAGUAAAUCAGAAACAACCUUUGACAGCAAACCACAGAAGAGAACUCCAAACUUCGGGUGUUAACUUCACUCUACAGGAUCCAACUGACUGGUUGAUCACAAGCCCAAUACUUCUCCUAAGGUGUGGGGGAGAUAGCAAGAGUGAGUCCAAGGCGAACUCCGCAAGUAUAACAACUAGAUUGUAUAGAUUCCACAAUCUCAUGAUCAAUGUGACAUAAAUAAUAUAGAGCAUUAAACAAUAAUCAAUGAGUUUCUUAACACAAGAUUCAUCACCCUUAAUGUAAGAGUUUCCAAGGCCGCUCGUGACCGUGAGCACGGCUAAUACCAGUUUUUAACACUCUACAGAGGUUGUACAUCUUUACCCAUGAGUCAUGAUUUACCCUUUCGCCUGAGAUGAUCAGCCUCGUAACCCACUACCAAGGUAGGUCGACAGAGAUCACUAUGAAGUCUUUCAAAGGUUCGUCUAACAAGUUUGGGCCGCUUGGUUUCGGUAGUCAGUCCGUGUGAUUCUACCCCGUAGGGGAUCCACGGUCUGCAAUCCCCCAUUUGCGCCGCACGGGUAACCUCUAACAAGCUAGAAAAAUUACUCAUACUUGACUAAAGCCAGAGCCAUUAUAGCCCUCAUGGUUGCACUUUCAUCCCGGUUAUCACAUACGAAUAAAUCCUCAAGUUGCUAAAAAGUCAUUAUUAUCAUUUGUUGCUUUAUAUUAAUCUAGUCACAAGAUCAUAGUCAUAGAAUUAAAACCCAAAUGCUAUACUUGCCUUAAUCCAAUUGCUCCUGCUAGUCCUGCUGAUCUUACUUGCUUCCAAGGCUCUGAUCUUGAUCACCGAAUUAAUGCCCACUAUCUAAUCUCGAUCAUCGGUCAUCAACACACAAACAAUCGGAGACAGACAUACACGAAGCAAACAAGAUUACAAUUAGAACAGUACACCAGCAGUAAAUAAAUUUAAAUAAAAGUUUUCCAAAAUCAUCUACACGCUGCUACAAUCAUGUCAACGAGAAAUUCACGGAAAACAGAGUUACGACGCGAAAGUUACGCUUUUAACGGGAUUUCAAGGGCAGUUUACAGACUUGUAAUUAACUAGGGAAUCUAACAGUGGUGAAUCUAGCCAACAAAGGUACCAACGUGAAGCUUAUGAAAUUAUAAAACUAACGCAACUUGAACGGAUCGAAUCGGAGCUAAAACAGAGAAGAUAUGAAUUUUCUAACAUUUUCUUUAGAAAAAUAAUUAAUUAAAUAGGGUCACAAAAUUAAAUUGUUUCAACUGAUGAACCAAGAUUACUAACAUGUAGAUCUCACCAAAAUGAAUCUAACGCAAUUUGAAUGGGUCAAAUCGGAGUUAAAACAAAUAUUUGAUGGCCAAAACAAACUCAGUGGCAAAUCUAUAAAUUUCGAAAAGCGUAUUUUUGAUCUAAACCGAGACGAAGUACGUGUUUGAAAUCAGAAAACGUAUUCCUAAAGGGCGUUUUAGGACUGCGGGUUGAUUUGAGAAAAACGCAGGGUCUCUUUAAAACUUUUGCCCCCGAAGGGGUAUGGUGCAUCCAGGGCCAUCGGAUCGAUCCUGGACGGCUGAGAUUAAAAGAAAGAGAUGAGAGAGGGGGGUGGGGGAGGUGGCGCGCCGGCUAGAGGGGAGGAAGGAGGCGGCGGCGGCCAUGGAUUCCGGUGGCAAGGUCACCGGAGCUGGCGGUUUGGGGGCUUCGGGCCAUGGUUUUCAAUUCCGAAUGCACAGAGAGAGAGGAGGGCAACGCGAACCCGCCCAUGCCCUCUACGCGGCCGGGGAGAGGUUUGAGAGGCACGCUCUAUGGCCGGCAGCCAUGGAGCUCGCCGGAGCUCGCGGCUAGCAUGGUAGAGCGCUUCGUUUUGCGAGAAAAUUAGACGAGGACGAAGCGGAGGAGAAAGGAGAGCUCACCAACGCGAAGAACGGGAUCGAAGGGGCUCGGUUCGACGGAUUCGCGCGGAGGUCGCCGGCGGCGAUUUUUGCGGUGCUCCAGGGAGUUCACACGAGAGGAGAGGGGGCGAGGGGAAAAGAAUGGGAGGUGGGGAGGUCGGUUUUGCGCAUCUCUACCCACUUCAACCCGAGGCGCGGGGGACAGAGGAGAUAGUGGGGGAGCGGCUUCGGCUCGGCGGUUUGAAGCUGAGAGAGAGAGAGGGGGAACGGGCGGGUGGUUGAAGAAGAGGGAGCUGACAGGCGGGCCCGGCCUGUCAGCGGGUGAGAGAGAGAGGGGAAGGGGGAGGAGGCCGGCUGGGCCUGGCCCAGGAAGAGGAAAGGGGGCGCGGGGCAAGUGGGCCAAGCAGGCCGAAAAAAAGGAAGGGGGGAGAAAGUUUCCAUUUUCUUUUCCAAAUACAUUUUUUUAAAACUCAUUUUUCAAAAGAAAUUUGAAUUCAAAACUCUUUACAAAAAAAUUCCACACAUCACAUAAAUAAAUGCUAUAGCAUGAAUGCAUCAAAAGUUUUCUAAACUUAUAUUGAAUUUUAAUUUCCCAAAAAUUAUUUAUUUUUCCUAUAUUUUAUGAGCACAAAAUAACAAAUUAAAUUAUUUUUCCCCUAUUUCCAAAAGAGCAAAAUUUAGGGUGUUACAAUUCUACCCCCCUUAAAAUGAAUCUCAUCCUCGAGAUUCGAAAGAGGCUCAGACUUCCAAAAGGAAAACAGGAUAAAGAUCUUAAUAACUCUUUCAACUUCUCAACUUGCAUACCAAACUUAAACACUUGUCUCAAGGUCACACCCCGUGAGCAACAUUUCCAUUGAAUAGCUAUUAUUCAAAGUUGACCAAAGUCCAUCUUGACUACUAAUUUCUUUUAGCUUACAACUCCAAGAGACAUGGAAACUUAAUAGGCAUUUGCCUCCUCAGGUAGGAGUGGACCACCGUGAUACUCAAUUCUUUUUCCUGACGGUGCUGUUAAGAGCAUUUUGUAUUGGGUACCAUAGAUCACUCCUUUGUGUGCACACAACCAUCCAUUACCAAGGACCAAGGGAAUACCAAGCGACUCUAACACAAUGAGGUUUACAGUGAAGUUUUCUGUGUUUAUGACCAGAUUGAUAUUUGAGCACACCUGAUUUGCUUGUAUUUCUCCCAUUGGGGUUUGAACUAGUAAAGGCUUCUUCGUUGGACACUUUACCCUCUCGAUUGUCUUUACGAGGUCGGUGGAAAUGAAAGAAUGCGAAGCACUCGGGUCAAAGAGAGCAAAAACUUGCACUGAGUCUACUUGAAUAUAGCCACCAACCACUUUGGUAGCUCCAUGAAUGUUAUGCCUAUCCACGUUGCUCAGUCUUCCAUUGAUAUAGUCUCGUUGCACCCUACUUCCAUGAGCAGGCUUCUUACGGCUUUUCCUUUUUCUCUUUCGCCGUUGUGGAUUCCGAUUUGAUUCACUUCCAACUUGCUCUUGAGUAUCAUUAUUUUGAUAGUACUUAGUUUCGUCAUACUCAUAACAUCCUUCAAGGGUAGGAUAAUCAUUCUCUUCCCACGUAUCAGUAAGAGGUAUCAUAUAGGGAUCCUGAUCCAUGGGAUACUACACUCCCUGUCAUCAAGUGACCAACGUCAAUGACACGAGAAGGAGUGAUGAUCAUAUUCAUAGAAUAUCUCACGAGACAACUCUCACUUCAAGAUAAGUUGAAAAUGCAUCAACCCGUGAUAUCAAGGUUCUACCCCCCUUAAGAAAGGUCGACUAGGAGGCACAAGGAAGGUAGCUUGCACUUUUUCUUGACAAGUUAUCUUGCAUUGAGACCCUUUUAACACCCCAAGGAACUUAUGUGCAAGGAAGAACAAAUAUCCUGAUUUUCCUCGCGAUAUGAAAAUCACCAGCGCAGUAAAAUGGACAUAACUCUUGUUCUGUUAAUCCAAUAGGGUUAUAGCUUAUACCGUUAGAAAGCUUAGAGAAUUUGCUACAACCUUUCUAUAGAACACUUUUCCAAAUUCUAUAGUUAUAUUUGUCCAAAACAGUAAGCAACCAAAACUGGUCCAGGUUCUUGACAGCACAACUAUAUCAUCUUGUGAUUUUCAUAACUCCAAUACCAGAAUAGCUAUGGGGGUGAUUCUUGAGGUCAGAGAAAAAUCUUGAAGUACACUAUCAUCCAGAAUUUUCUCAUGAUUUUUGGUCAUCCCGGAUCAAAGAUAUGAACUGAUAAAGAAGUGAUACUCCGGAAAGGCAGGAUAAGAUAACAAGAGAAAAACCAAAACCCAACUAUUUGUGUCAUUAAUCCUUAUGCCUUAGACAUUUAAACUAAAUGAAAUUGUGAAGAAACUCACAAGAUCAUUACACUCAUUACAAAUAUCCAAAUCAAACAUAAACAUAAAGACAAUUCAACCAAGCAGUAAAGGUUCACAAGGCACACAAACUCGACUUUCGCUACUAGUGUUCUUAUUACACAAGGGCACAAACUCCUAUAUCUUAAACUCAGUGUGGCUUCUUUCAUGAUGCAUCUAUUGAUUUCUUUGUGGACAAGAGUUUACAUAGUGUCCUUCCUGUCGGCAGUGAUAACACUUUCUCUUAGCUGGAUCCUUCGUGAUAUCAUUUUCCACUGAGGUGUUGCUCGGUGUGUUAUCAGCUCACUGACUCUGAAGGUUUGUCUCUGGCUGGCUAGCUUUCUUCCUAACUUGGUUGAUCCUUCAAGGUUGACACUCUUUAUAAGUGAUGGUCCAUCCAUCUAUGCAUACCUCAUGAGUAGUGGGGUUAGCUUGAGAAGUUUCUUCAUCUCCAAGGUUUUGGAUUUUUCAUGGCCAGAGUUCAAAGCUAAAUGUGACAACUUAGGAUUUGAAUGUUGUUCACUCCCCAAUGCUGGCUCUAGUGAUUUUACCUUCCUCUUCUUAUCCUCAUUAGACACACAAUUUGGUUUUACCUUAACUUCCUUUUCAGAUGACCUAUUUCGACGACAAGGAAGACCAUAAUGCCUACAACAAUGGCAUUGAUCCUGAUAUCCCGAUGUAUUACUAUCAACACCUCCAUGGGUUCUCAUAUUUUUCCAAGCUUCUGCUACUUGUCUCUUCAUUGGUCCUGAGAUGCACUGCUGAGAGUUCCCAUUACGAGUCAUUCCUUCCACUACUUGCUUUUGCAUGGCUAGAAGCUUCUCCUUGUCGAAUGCUUUUACGAGUGGCAUCUCUGAGUCCUUUUGUUCCUUCAUGUCAAUGGUCUCAUCGUUAUGAGCCAUCUAAAUAGACAAGGAGGUUGGAUUUAGAAUAGAGAUAAAGUUUUAUAACAGAAUAGGGUAGAGGUAAGCAUAAAUUUUAGCAAUUAUCAAGGUUAAGGUGAAAGCAAGAAGUAAGCAGAGAUAGAAGCAUGCUAUAACGUCUGGUUCUAACUAGGCUUGCGUCCUACAGUCAGCAUUGCUUUGAUACCACUUUGUAACACCCGAUUUUAAGAACAAAAUUAGAUAUGCACCAUAUGUGAGUUUUAGAAGACAAGCCUCACAUAUAGCUACAAAUAAGGGGUAAUAUCAAAGGACAACGCAUAAAUUACAUAGCGUACAUAGUAAAUCAGAAACAACCUUUGACAGCAAACC